This 264-nucleotide ribosomal RNA is filed under the name uncultured archaeon. RNAcentral describes it as "partial 16S ribosomal RNA". It matches the Rfam family "Archaeal small subunit ribosomal RNA", at positions 714 to 982 of the family's 1478-position model. The record is from RNAcentral.
AGACGUCUACAUUAGAUACCCCCGUAGUCCCAACCGUAAACUAUGCGCGUUAGGUGUAUCGGUGACCACGAGUUACCGAGGUGCCGAAGGGAAACCGUGAAACGUGCCGCCUGGGAAGUACGGUCGCAAGGCUGAAACUUAAAGGAAUUGGCGGGGAGCACCACAACAGGUGGAGCCUGCGGUUUAAUUGGACUCAACGCCGGGAAGCUCACCGGAUAGGACAGCAGAAUGAUUGCCGGGCUGAAGACCCUGCAUGACUAGCUG